GUGGGGAAUUUUGGACAAUGGGCGAAAGCCUGAUCCAGCCAUGCCGCGUGCAGGAUGAAGGCCUUCGGGUUGUAAACUGCUUUUGUACGGAACGAAAAGACUCUGGUUAAUACCUGGGGUCCAUGACGGUACCGUAAGAAUAAGCACCGGCUAACUACGUGCCAGCAGCCGCGGUAAUACGUAGGGUGCAAGCGUUAAUCGGAAUUACUGGGCGUAAAGCGUGCGCAGGCGGUUUUGUAAGAUCGAUGUGAAAUCCCCGGGCUCAACCUGGGAACUGCAUUGGUGACUGCAAGGCUGGAGUGCGGCAGAGGGGGAUGGAAUUCCGCGUGUAGCAGUGAAAUGCGUAGAUAUGCGGAGGAACACCGAUGGCGAAGGCAAUCCCCUGGGCCUGCACUGACGCUCAUGCACGAAAGCGUGGGGAGCAAACAGGAUUAGAUACCCGAGUAGUCC
This 450-nucleotide ribosomal RNA is filed under the name uncultured bacterium. RNAcentral's name for it is "partial 16S ribosomal RNA". It matches the Rfam family "Bacterial small subunit ribosomal RNA", at positions 354 to 796 of the family's 1533-position model. The record is from RNAcentral.